AGAGCAGGAUGCAGCCAAGGAUGACUUGCCGGAGCUGGCUGGCUACCACAGCAUGCAGUACUGUCGCUGGCCGGCGAGGCUGGCCGGAGACUGGCUGUGUCAUCCGCCGGCAAGUUUGUCCUUGGCUACACCUUGCUCUCU
Molecule: microRNA precursor, 141 nt
Filed under: Oryza brachyantha (malo sina)
Lineage: Eukaryota; Viridiplantae; Streptophyta; Magnoliopsida; Poales; Poaceae
Source: RNAcentral